Molecule: ribosomal RNA, 440 nt
Filed under: uncultured bacterium
Lineage: Bacteria
Description: partial 16S ribosomal RNA
Rfam family: Bacterial small subunit ribosomal RNA
Source: RNAcentral
CCUACGGGAGGCAGCAGUGGGGGAUAUUGCACAAUGGGGGGAACCCUGAUGCAGCGACGCCGCGUGGGUGAAGGAGCGUUUCGGCGCGUAAAGCCCUAUCGGCAGGAAAGAAGAUGACGGUACCUGGCCAAGAAGCACCGGCUAACUACGUGCCAGCAGCCGCGGUAAUACGUAGGGGGCAAGCGGUAUCCGGAUUUACUGGGUGUAAAGGGGGCGCAGACGGCAAUGCAAGCCAGGAGUGAAAGCCCGGGGCCCAACCCCGGGACUGCUCUUGGAACUGCAUGGCUGGAGUACAGGAGGGGCAGGCGGAAUUCCUAGUGUAGCGGUGAAAUGCGUAGAUAUUAGGAGGAACACCAGUGGCGAAGGCGGCCUGCUGGACUGUGACUGACGUUGAGGCCCGAAGGCGUGGGGAGCAAACAGGAUUAGAUACCCCAGUAGUC